RNAcentral lists this unclassified non-coding RNA (378 nucleotides) under plant metagenome. RNAcentral describes it as "partial contains 5.8S ribosomal RNA, internal transcribed spacer 2, and large subunit ribosomal RNA". The stretch from base 1 to 105 matches the Rfam family "5.8S ribosomal RNA", at positions 50 to 154 of the family's 154-position model. The record is from RNAcentral.
GAAAUGCGAUAAGUAAUGUGAAUUGCAGAAUUCAGUGAAUCAUCGAAUCUUUGAACGCACCUUGCGCUCCUUGGUAUUCCUUGGAGCAUGCCUGUUUGAGUAUCAUGAAAUCUUCAAAGUAAAUCUUUUGUUAACUCAAUUGGUUUCUACUUUGGUAUUGGAGGUCUUUGCAGCUUCACACCUGCUCCUCUUUGUUCAUUAGCUGGAUCUCAGUGUUAUGCUUGGUUCCACUCGGCGUGAUAAGUUAUCUAUCGCUGAGGACACUGUAAAAGGUGGCAAAGGUAAAUGCAGAUGAACCGCUUCUAAUAGUCCAUUGACUUGGACAAUACUUUUAUGAUCUGAUCUCAAAUCAGGUAGGACUACCCGCUGAACUUAAGC